Molecule: ribosomal RNA, 2276 nt
Filed under: Bacillus cereus MSX-A1
Lineage: Bacteria; Bacillati; Bacillota; Bacilli; Caryophanales; Bacillaceae
Description: bacterial LSU rRNA
Rfam family: Bacterial large subunit ribosomal RNA
Source: RNAcentral
AGGUUAAGCUGAAGAGGCGGAGCCGCAGCGAAAGCGAGUCUGAAUAGGGCGUUUAGUACGUGGUCGUAGACCCGAAACCAGGUGAUCUACCCAUGUCCAGGGUGAAGUUCAGGUAACACUGAAUGGAGGCCCGAACCCACGCACGUUGAAAAGUGCGGGGAUGAGGUGUGGGUAGCGGAGAAAUUCCAAUCGAACCUGGAGAUAGCUGGUUCUCCCCGAAAUAGCUUUAGGGCUAGCCUUAAGUGUAAGAGUCUUGGAGGUAGAGCACUGAUUGAACUAGGGGUCCUCAUCGGAUUACCGAAUUCAGUCAAACUCCGAAUGCCAAUGACUUAUCCUUAGGAGUCAGACUGCGAGUGAUAAGAUCCGUAGUCAAGAGGGAAACAGCCCAGAUCGCCAGCUAAGGUCCCAAAGUGUGUAUUAAGUGGAAAAGGAUGUGGAGUUGCUUAGACAACUAGGAUGUUGGCUUAGAAGCAGCCACCAUUUAAAGAGUGCGUAAUAGCUCACUAGUCGAGUGACUCUGCGCCGGAAAUGUACCGGGGCUAAAUACACCACCGAAGCUGCGAAUUGAUACCAAUGGUAUCAGUGGUAGGGGAGCGUUCUAAGUGCAGUGAAGUCAGACCGGAAGGACUGGUGGAGCGCUUAGAAGUGAGAAUGCCGGUAUGAGUAGCGAAAGACGGGUGAGAAUCCCGUCCACCGAAUGCCUAAGGUUUCCUGAGGAAGGCUCGUCCGCUCAGGGUUAGUCAGGACCUAAGCCGAGGCCGACAGGCGUAGGCGAUGGACAACAGGUUGAUAUUCCUGUACCACCUCUUUAUCGUUUGAGCAAUGGAGGGACGCAGAAGGAUAGAAGAAGCGUGCGAUUGGUUGUGCACGUCCAAGCAGUUAGGCUGAUAAGUAGGCAAAUCCGCUUAUCGUAAAGGCUGAGCUGUGAUGGGGAAGCUCCUUAUGGAGCGAAGUCUUUGAUUCCCCGCUGCCAAGAAAAGCUUCUAGCGAGAUAAAAGGUGCCUGUACCGCAAACCGACACAGGUAGGCGAGGAGAGAAUCCUAAGGUGUGCGAGAGAACUCUGGUUAAGGAACUCGGCAAAAUGACCCCGUAACUUCGGGAGAAGGGGUGCUUUCUUAACGGAAAGCCGCAGUGAAUAGGCCCAAGCGACUGUUUAGCAAAAACACAGCUCUCUGCGAAGCCGUAAGGCGAAGUAUAGGGGGUGACACCUGCCCGGUGCUGGAAGGUUAAGGAGAGGGGUUAGCGUAAGCGAAGCUCUGAACUGAAGCCCCAGUAAACGGCGGCCGUAACUAUAACGGUCCUAAGGUAGCGAAAUUCCUUGUCGGGUAAGUUCCGACCCGCACGAAAGGUGUAACGAUUUGGGCACUGUCUCAACCAGAGACUCGGUGAAAUUAUAGUACCUGUGAAGAUGCAGGUUACCCGCGACAGGACGGAAAGACCCCGUGGAGCUUUACUGUAGCCUGAUAUUGAAUUUUGGUACAGUUUGUACAGGAUAGGCGGGAGCCAUUGAAACCGGAGCGCUAGCUUCGGUGGAGGCGCUGGUGGGAUACCGCCCUGACUGUAUUGAAAUUCUAACCUACGGGUCUUAUCGACCCGGGAGACAGUGUCAGGUGGGCAGUUUGACUGGGGCGGUCGCCUCCUAAAGUGUAACGGAGGCGCCCAAAGGUUCCCUCAGAAUGGUUGGAAAUCAUUCGUAGAGUGCAAAGGCAUAAGGGAGCUUGACUGCGAGACCUACAAGUCGAGCAGGGACGAAAGUCGGGCUUAGUGAUCCGGUGGUUCCGCAUGGAAGGGCCAUCGCUCAACGGAUAAAAGCUACCCCGGGGAUAACAGGCUUAUCUCCCCCAAGAGUCCACAUCGACGGGGAGGUUUGGCACCUCGAUGUCGGCUCAUCGCAUCCUGGGGCUGUAGUCGGUCCCAAGGGUUGGGCUGUUCGCCCAUUAAAGCGGUACGCGAGCUGGGUUCAGAACGUCGUGAGACAGUUCGGUCCCUAUCCGUCGUGGGCGUAGGAAAUUUGAGAGGAGCUGUCCUUAGUACGAGAGGACCGGGAUGGACGCACCGCUGGUGUACCAGUUGUUCUGCCAAGGGCAUAGCUGGGUAGCUAUGUGCGGAAGGGAUAAGUGCUGAAAGCAUCUAAGCAUGAAGCCCCCCUCAAGAUGAGAUUUCCCAUAGCGUAAGCUAGUAAGAUCCCUGAAAGAUGAUCAGGUUGAUAGGUUCGAGGUGGAAGCAUGGUGACAUGUGGAGCUGACGAAUACUAAUAGAUCGAGGACUUAACCAU